GAUGAAGAACGCAGCGAAAUGCGAUAAGUAAUGUGAAUUGCAGAAUUCAGUGAAUCAUCGUAUCUUUGAACGCAUCUUGCGCUCCUUGGUAUUCUGAGGAGCAUGCCUGUUUGAGUGUCAUUAAAUUCUCAACUACACUGACUUUGAAUUGGUGUGGCUUGGAUUUGGGGGGAAAAUUGUUGUGGGCUUUUUGUAUAGUCUGCUCCCCUGAAAUUGAUUAGCGGUACCUUUGUGGAACUGUCUACAGGUGUGAUAUUAUCUACAUCUUAGACAUCUGCUGGAAUGCUGCUUUCUAAACCUUACUUGUAUUGACAAUCUUGACCUCAAAUCAGGUAGGACUACCCGCUGAACUUAAGCAUAUCAAUAAGCGGAGGA
This 375-nucleotide unclassified non-coding RNA is filed under the name soil metagenome. RNAcentral's name for it is "partial contains 5.8S ribosomal RNA, internal transcribed spacer 2, and large subunit ribosomal RNA". The stretch from base 1 to 120 matches the Rfam family "5.8S ribosomal RNA", at positions 35 to 154 of the family's 154-position model. The record is from RNAcentral.